GAUGAAGAACGUAGCGAAAUGCGAUACUUGGUGUGAAUUGCAGAAUCCCGUGAACCAUCGAGUCUUUGAACGCAAGUUGCGCCCGAAGCCAUCAGGUUGAGGGCACGUCUGCCUGGGCGUCACAUAUCGUUGCUCGAUGCCUAUCGCAUUGCGAUAGGACUUAGGGCGAAUGAUGGCUUCCCGUGAGCGUUGUUGCCUCGCGGUUGGUUGAAAAUCGAGUCCUUGGUAGGGUGUGCCAUGAUAGAUGGUGGUCGAGUUAGCACGAGUCCGAUCAUGUGCAUGCUCCCCAAAAUAUGGCCUCUGUGACCCACACGCGUCUUUUGACGCUCAUGACGAGACCUCAGGUCAGGCGGGGCUACCCGCUGAAUUUAAGCAUAUCAAUAAGCGGAGGA
RNAcentral lists this unclassified non-coding RNA (392 nucleotides) under soil metagenome. RNAcentral's name for it is "partial contains 5.8S ribosomal RNA, internal transcribed spacer 2, and large subunit ribosomal RNA". The stretch from base 1 to 122 matches the Rfam family "5.8S ribosomal RNA", at positions 35 to 154 of the family's 154-position model. The record is from RNAcentral.